This 446-nucleotide ribosomal RNA is filed under the name uncultured bacterium. Its description in RNAcentral is "partial 16S ribosomal RNA". It matches the Rfam family "Bacterial small subunit ribosomal RNA", at positions 354 to 796 of the family's 1533-position model. The record is from RNAcentral.
GUAGGGAAUAUUGGACAAUGGGGGGAACCCUGAUCCAGCCAUGCCGCGUGGAGGAAGACUGCCCUCUGGGUUGUAAACUCCUUUUAUAUGGGAAGAACCGUCCUCAUUAAUGAGUGACCUGACGGUACCAUAGGAAUAAGCACCGGCUAACUCCGUGCCAGCAGCCGCGGUAAUACGGAGGGUGCAAGCGUUAUCCGGAUUCACUGGGUUUAAAGGGUGCGUAGGCGGAUAAAUAAGUCAGUGGUGAAAUCAACGGGCUCAACCUGUUAACUGCCAUUGAUACUGUGUAUCUUGAAUAUGAGAGAGGUAGGCGGAAUGUUGCAUGUAGCGGUGAAAUGCUUAGAUAUGCUACGGAACACCGAUUGCGAAGGCAGCUUGCUGAACCAUUAUUGACGCUGAGGCACGAAAGCGUGGGGAGCGAACAGGAUUAGAAACCCGAGUAGUCC